Molecule: non-coding RNA, 845 nt
Filed under: Axianassa australis
Lineage: Eukaryota; Metazoa; Arthropoda; Malacostraca; Decapoda; Axianassidae
Description: 12S ribosomal RNA
Rfam family: Microsporidia small subunit ribosomal RNA (bases 423-838)
Source: RNAcentral
AAUAAGUUUGAUUCUUGCUUUAUUUUUACGUUUGAGCUUUAAGUAUAUAUUUAAAUUUUGGUGGGAGUAGAUUUAUGUUGUCGAGUAUAGUGUAAAUUUUGUUAAUUGAAGAAUCAAUUAGGGUCGAAGUAUAUAAUUUUAAAGGUAGCAAAAAUGCUGAGGUAAGUGAGCUUGAAAUAAGUCCCGACUAAAACUUGUGCCAGCAGUCGCGGUUAGACUUAGGGGGCAAGUAAAGGUAGUUGGCUAUAAUUAGUUAAUGUGUUAAGUGGUUGUUAAAGUCAUCUUAUAGAAAAUAAAAGGUAAAAUUAAGGUUGUUUAUAGUUAAAUUGGCUGUAAAAUUACUGUGGCAGAAGCUAAGAAGAGUGAGAUAUAAACCAGGAUUAGAUACCCUGUUAUACUUGUAUUUUAAAUAUUUAAAGCCAGUGUAUUAAUAGUUAUUUUCUUUAAAUAUAUAGAAUUUGGCGGCGUUGCCAGUCUCGUUAGAGGAACCUGUCUCGUAAACGAUACACCACGAAAUAUCUUACUUAAUUAAGUUUAGUAUGUAUACCGUCAUUAUCAGAUAAUUUUUAUAGAAUUAAUUAUUAGAAUAAAUAAGUUUGUUAAAGUUAUUUAGUAAAUUAGAUCUAGGUGCAGCUGAUAGUUAAGUGUUGAUGGGUUACAAUAAUAUUGUUUAAUAUGGAUCACAAAGUGAAAUAAUUGUGUGAAGGCGGAUUUAAUGGUAAAUCUAGUUUAAUAAGCUAGUUUGAUAAAGGCUCUGGAUUGUGUACAUAUCGCCCGUCGCUUUCACCCCAAGGUGAAAUAAGUCGUAACAUAGUGGGUGUACUGGAAAGUGUACCUGGAAGUCA